This 304-nucleotide long non-coding RNA is filed under the name Bos taurus (domestic cattle). RNAcentral describes it as "long non-coding RNA NONBTAT021762". The record is from RNAcentral. Lineage: Eukaryota; Metazoa; Chordata; Mammalia; Artiodactyla; Bovidae.
AAAGAACUCAACAUAGAGCCCGCUGUAAGUAUGAGACCUUGUUGGGAGGAAUUAUUCAUAUACAUGUUUUUGUUGUAGAUUCCUUUUUGUGCUUCUAUGAGAUUUUAGGAAGACAAUUUCUCAUCUUUUUAUAAAGUCCUUUUUCUUACCUGAAGAAUUAAACAUGUUUGUUACAGAAAACAUGCAAAUAACAAAGGACAGAAAAGACUCUGAGUUAUCAAAUCAUACCUGCUUUUUGUAAUUUUUUCCAUUUAUAUAUCAUAAGCCACUUUGCAUUCUAACAGAUGCUUUGUCCUAUAUGCCA